UACAGAGGUCUCGAGCGUUAGGCGGAAUCACUGGGCUUAAAGCGUGUGUAGGCGGAUCGGUAAGUACCUUGUGAAAUCCCACAGCUUAACUGUGGAACUGCUUGGUAUACUGCCAGUCUUGAGCCACUUAGGGGCUACCGGAACAAAUGUUGGAGCGGUGAAAUGCGUAGAUAUCAUUUGGAACGCCAAUGGUGAAAACAGGUAGCUGGGAGUGUGCUGACGCUGAGACACGAAAGCCAGGGGAGCAAACGGG
This 253-nucleotide ribosomal RNA is filed under the name uncultured bacterium. RNAcentral describes it as "partial 16S ribosomal RNA". It matches the Rfam family "Bacterial small subunit ribosomal RNA", at positions 524 to 776 of the family's 1533-position model. The record is from RNAcentral.